CUCCUCCUCUUUUUGGAGAGAUGCAAAGCAGUGUGAACAUGCUUUUGUAAUUAAUACUUUUUAUUGAUGCGCCCGGUCACUAGAUGUGACAUCUUCCUGUCUGAUCUCUUUUUGGUCUUUGGCCAUGACAAAGGGUAGCUCUGUAGCUGUUUCUCUGUUGCGGACAUCUAUUAAAAAUCAUGGGCAGAUUUUAAAAUGUAUUGCUUUAAGAGACAUGCUAUUAAAGCACUAUCCAGCAACAAUGACACCCAAGUUAAUUAGUUGUGAAGAUUUCUAUGUUCAACUUGCAAAGGAAUAAUAUCUAGUUAACUUUGUAAAAUCAGUGAAAUAACCCUUAAUCCCUACUCAUCAUGAUUCACACUCAUGCACUCAGACAUGCUCAUGUUCCCUCUCUCACACACACACACCUCUGACAAAGGAUCAAAUUAUGACAAAAACUGAUCUAUGACAAGUAAUUCAUUAUCAUCAGUGGACAAUGUUACCCAAAAGAUGGCGAUAAAGGGUAACUUAGUUGACAGGUAUGAUUUCACCAUUUUGAAUCAAUUUCAGUGGCAGGCCAAGAACAUAAUUUUCUUGAUCAAGUGAACCUCAAAUUUGAAUAUAUAUUGGAAUUAAUAUCAUAAAAAUGUUAACCAUUGCAAUCCAUAAUGUACCCAACAUAGUUGAAGGUCAAUGAAUAUACUCCUUGAAAAUAGGUUAUUGUAAGUGUAAAAGAAAAAAAAGGGAAUUAAAUAAAUAAUAAAAAUCUUAAGUAUUUAGAUUUUAGAAAUAAAUAUAGAUAAUUUUUAAAAAAAAAUUUUAUUCAUUAUUUUGAACUCAAGACCCACUCACUUAAAAAAAUUGACAUUGCAAAAACUGUCAAUUAAAAAACAUCAAGGCAAUUUCAAGCAAACUGAAACACAGGGUGCACAAAAUAUUUGAGAUUAUAAUAUACUUCCCCUUAAUUGAUAAAAUAGGAUAUUUCUGAAGAAAAAUAUGAAAUCACAGGACAUGAAAUGUACCCAAAACUGCAGAAUGACUCAUAUCUUAAUGUGAUCCAUACUUGUCAUUAAUACUUUUUUUUUUUUUUUUUUUUAGAGAUAGCCUUCAUUAGCACAAUAAAACAAAGAAUCACAUUUUUAUACAUGAAGGAUAGAUGUGGAUGGCUUUAGGGAAAGGUAUACUGGACUACACACCUACAGCAGGGUUUUCCAUUGUUCUUUUAGAGAUUGGCUUAUGAGAGUGGAGUGAACUCCUGUCAGACUCAGCUGUCAGAUCUGUGUGUACCACAGACUGAUGCUGGGGCUGUGGUGUUUGAGCCUCACUCUCUGGCAAGGCUUCUGGAGAGCUUUGACUCUGCAGCAGAUGAUUAUGUGUGCUGGUGCAUGCUAUACUGCUUUUACCAAGCUUUUUCUGCACACUAUCAAAUUCUGGAAAACAAUCUUCAUGAACAACUGAAUCAGUUCAUAUAUUGAUAAUCAACAACCAAAUCACAGGAGGCAGUUUGUUUUGUUUUCAUGGCUUCACCUUUGAGUGGUACUUGACUAACGUGAAGUUCCUGAAUUUGUGUUGUUUUGUCAUGGCUUUGUUGUGAGGUAUGAUCUCUUUCUUUUUCAGCUUCCACAGACUCUGGUGGUGACCUCACCAUUUCUGGAGCACAGAAAGACAUGAAGGACAUGAGCAUGUGAAAUGUGACCAUGAUAGCUUAUUGAAACAUCUAUGGGGCUGUAAUUUGUGGUUGUACAACUACCAUUGCUUCUCUGAUUCUGGCCUGCAAGGCAUGAUGGCUGGGAGCUCUCAUCCAAACAUGGUCCAAACAUCCUCUGUAGUAUUUCAAUUGCUAAAAUAUGCAAAUACAGAACCAGCUGAUAAACAUAUGACAUGGUGAUACACAUUUGCAUUUACUAUGCAUCUAACCAUCUAAGAGAGUUAGUUAUUAAACCUUUUGUUCUGCUAAACGCUAUAUCACUAAAAGUAUGUGGACAUGUGACCAAUCACAUCCAUAUGUGCUUGUUGAACAUCCCAUUCCAAAGUUAGUCCCUCUUUGCUACUACAAUAACCUCCACUCAUCUGGUAACGCUUUCCACUCGAUUUUGGAGUGUGGCUGGAUUUCUGCCCAUUCAGCAACACGAGCAUUAGUUAAGUCAGGCACUGAUUUUGGAUGAUAAAGUCUGACAUGCAAUCGGCGUUCCAGUUAAUCCUAAAGGUGUUCAGUGAGAUUGAGGUCAGGGCUCUGUGCGGGCCACCAUAAUUCUUCUACACCAACCCUGGCAAGCCAUAUCUUUCUGGACCUCGCACUGUGCACAACAAUGAUGGAACAGGUCUGGGCCUCUUAGUUCCAGGAAAGCAAAAUUAUAAUGCUACAGCAUACAAAGACAUUCUUGACAAAUGUGUGCCUCCAACUUUGUGGCAACAGUUUGGGGAAGAAUCACACAUGGGUGUGAUAGUCAGGUGUCCACAUACUUUUGGUGAUAUCUUGCAUAUACAAACACAUACAUGCACACACUAACCUUCAUGGAAGUCUGCAGAACGCAGAGACUCGUGCUGGUUUUGGUUCAGCUUGAUGACCUGUACAAUAAAAACACUGGGGUCUGAGGUCUAUAUUAUGGUCUAGUGCAGAGAACGUUAAAGGAAAGCAGUUAUACAGUUAAAGGAAUACAAUUUGGUACUGCAGGCCUUAUAUCAAAGGAAUCAGAGCAGUAUAUACACUCACCAAACACUUUAUUAGGAACGCUUUACUAAUGAUAUAUACUAUACUUUAGAGCAGGGCCUCCCUCGGCUCUUAAAAAAAAGCCUCGAUUCCACAAGAUGUUAGAAACAAUCCUUUGAGAUUCUUGUACAUGUUAACACACAAUUCCUUCAGAUUUUUCAGGUGCACUUUCAUACUGUGAAUCUCCUGUUCUACCAGAUCCCAAAGAUGUUCUACUGGAUUCAGAUCUGGUGACUGGGAAGGCCACUGAAGAAAACUGAACUCAUUGUCAUGUUCAUAAAACCAGUUUGAGAUGAGUUUUGCUUUGUGACAUGGUGCAUUAUCAUGGUGGAAAUAGCCAUUAAAAGAUGGGUAAAUUGUGGACAUGAAAGGAUCCACAUGGUCAGCAACAAUACUCCAGUAGGCUGUGGCAUUCAAGUGAUGGCUGUUUGGUAUUAAUGGGCCCCAAAGUGUGAAAACAUUACACCACCUUGACCAGCCUGGACUGUCGACACAAGCCAGGCUGAGUCCAUGGAUUCAUCCUGUUGUUGCCAAAUUCUAGAGAUUUAUAUCUAUAGAGAUUCAUCAGACCUGGUGAAGUUUUUCAGUAUUCAGCUGUCCAGUUUUGGUGAGCCUGUACCCAGUGCAGCCUCAGAUUUAUGUUCUUGGCUGACAGAAGCAGAACCCGACGUGGUCUUGUGCUGUUGUAGCUCAUUCGCCUUAAGGUUCAAUGAGUUGUGCAUUCUCAGACUCUUUUCUGCUCACCACAAUUGUACAGACUGGUUAUGUGGGUUACUGUAGCCUUUCUAUCAGAUCAAACCAGUCUGGUCAUUCUCUGCUGACCUCUUUCAUAAACAAGGCGUUUCUGUCCGCAGAACAUCAACAGACAAAAUGUCCUUUUGAUUUCUUUAUGACAUCAUUCUGAGUAAACUCUAGAGACUGUUGUGCGUGAAACUCCCAGGAGAUCAGCAUUUACUCAAAUACUAAAACCACCUGUCUGGCACCAACAAUCAUGCAACGGUCAAAAACAACGAGGUCACAUUUUCCCCCCAUUCUGAUGGUUGAUGGGAACAUUACCUGAAGCUGCUGCUGGCCCAUUGAUUUUAUGCAUUGCACUGCUGCCAUAUGAUUAGAUAAUGGUAUGAAUUAAUAAAUGAAAGUGUACAGGUGUUCCUAAUAAAGUGCUCAGUGGGCGUGUGUGUGUCUCCGUGUCUCCUAAAAUUGAAUAUCAGACAAAAUUUUCAUUUCUUCAAAGAAGCAGUCUGAAGAUUAAUACGCUAGAUGGCAUACCUUAGCAUCUAACCCCUUCUCUGCCAAGUCACGAACGGUCAUCUGACGAAUGGUCUGCCACUGCUGAGAUAGCUCAUGAUACUGAGUGCUCUAAAAUAACAGCAUAUGCAAACAUAUUUAAUGCAAAACUAACGUAACAUUUUGAGCAUAUUCUUAUUAAGCAUAACGGGCCAUAUUCAGAGCAGAGUGUUAAUAUGAAUAUUAACACUCUAGAACUCACAAUGGACAAGUGUUGGUGCCGUUCACUGGUCAUAUGGGCACAAAAGUUCUUGUUGCUAACAUUCUCAGCACAGUUUAGACACAGGAAAAAAGUUGGCUGUGAAAUACCUCGGCACUCCAAUAUAUUAGACAGACCUGCAAAUACAAAUAAGCUAAAUUUCACACAAACAAAUUUUUUCCCCCAUAGACACAAUGGCACACUAAUGAAAAGAUUCAUGCACACGUACCUAUAAUUGGAACGGUGUUAGGAAGUCCCUUCACAUGUAGAAACCAGGAGGCGUGACUCUGUCCCAGCACUGUGAUAAAAUCGACAAUACUUGAUUAUAAAAAACGUCGUCAACGAAUCUCAUUAUCGAUUAGUUGGUCCGUGCGUGGUCCAACUAAUCUGAAACCACGCUACAUAUAUAUUUUUUGGGGGGUGGGGGUUUAAAUGUAUCAAAACGUAUUCAAAUGAGAUGUUUUAAAAUUGAUCAAUUCGGUUAUUCGCAAAUAUCAUGUCAGCUGAGCUGAUGAUCGUUCAUUGAUGGAUUUAUUUUAAAUUUAUUUACAAAUGAAAUGAUAAUUUGCAAAAACCUGAGUGGUAGACAAGUUCAAGUGUUGCAUUGAUGGAUAAAAUAAACAAAGGAUAAUUAAGAGAGUGAAAUUAAAUGUCACACCAACAAUAAAAUGUAAAAAAUGUAAUCUUGAAAUGUUUUGAUUCAAUUUUAAUGUUAAUAUUAUUAAUGUUAAAUAUUAAUAAAAUAAAGCAACAUAUAUAGAAAUGACUGUUUAAUAUAUAGCCUAUAAUUGUUGUGGAGUGAGGGGGUCCUUGUGGAAAGUUCGAAAUAUUCUAGGGUCCAAAGCUCACAAAAGGUUGAAAACCACUGGUCUAGUGUAUAAAAUUUAGAAAGGUAAUAUCAUCUCAAAUGAAAUACAUUCGUUUUUUUUACUAACCUGAAAGUUUGCCCCCAUCUGAUUAAUCACAAAAAAUUAAUUGGCCAACUAAUCGAUUAUGAAAAUAGUCAUUAGUUGCAGCCCAAGUAUACGCCAUUCAAUAAAUGCGAAAUAAUGGAAAUAAAGCUGAUGCUUAUAUGCAUAAACUGCGCAGGCUACUGGAAAUGCUAAGGAUCUGAAAAAAGUGACAAACCUGUGGGUAGGUUUGGAAAAUAGUAAUUUUUUGAUGGUCUAGUGUCAUGUCGAAGUUCGCUUUCAUUUCUCAGGACGGACUGGCGAUACGCUGCACAUACAGACACAACGUUCAAAUUCAAUCAGAAACUAAAUACUUACAUUAAACAUCAGUUAGAACAUUAACAGAAUUAUUAAUACAUUCUUCUUCUAAUUACUGAAAGCAUUUGGAGUUUGGAGAAGGGGAGGAAUAAAUUUUGGAGAAGAGGGAGCAUAAAGAGCAGAUACAUAUAUACAGGAAAGGUAUGACACUGUUACUAAGGAAACAAAACAUCAUUGGCAUAGUCAGUUCAGUAUUCUAAAUCAUAUUAAUGGGAUGUUUUUAAUUUAUUAAGCUAUACAAGCAGAACGGAUCAGUCUCAAUCUUAACCUAAGAAUAUUCAACCACCCCUGUCUGAAUACAUUCAGACUGACUGAAGUGGCUGCACAUUGCAUAGCAGUAAAAUGCAGACUUACUGAGCUUCGAUCCACUAGCACCUUCGGACUCUGCAUAUGAAGUUGAGGCAACUGGCCCUGUUUCAGGAUGAACAAGACCUGCAACUAGAACAAUGAUGAAUGAUGAAUUAGAGAUCACUAAUGGCAUUUUCCCCACUAGGAAUACAGUCUGUGAAAAGGGCUAUUCGGACGGGAACAGAUUUAUAAGGGAUAAUCCCGUGCGAACUGGUCAUGCCGGAUAUUUUUCCGGACUGCGCUUUCCCAUGCCCGUGAAGAUUACAGCAUCUUUUACAUUUUAUAAAACGGCCUUUAAAAAUAACCCCAGGUUAAACUAAUCACGUGCGAAUGCGCACUCUAUUUUUUUAGGUAGUCGAUUCAUUCUCGGCAUUUAAGUCCUGUCGCCAAACGGCACUUUGACAGAGGGACCUUUAUCGCAAACUUUUUCGAAAAAUCUCCUCCCAAACAGAAUGAUUACAUAUCAUUUGUUCAAACAGCGUUUCAUAAUGUCGUUCUCCCCAAACUGAAACUAAACAAAGUUUCAGCUCUCGUCCAAAUGCGUCGUUUCUUUUGCUUCAUCAGUGCCGUGAUGCUGUAUUACCAAAUACUGAGGUGCAGCACCAUGUUACGCAUGACACACGGGGCUGAUGUGAUGGGCAGGCAGCAUAAACGAUGAAGCCACACCCAUCUCUGCAAUUUCUACAGAAAUCUCUCAUGCCAUGCGAAUUGACAAUAAAUAUCACAGGUGUCCAUAGUAGCAAUUACUUUGCAGCCAUAUGUCUGGAAAACUAAUCCCCUCCAAAUAGGGCUAAAGAAAGCAUGUCUGUCUAUGCCACAAAGCAUAAUUUAAAUGGUAAAUAUAACAAUUCUUAGUAUAGUUAUAUUAGCACAAUAUCAAGUUUAAGUGGCUUUAUUGCCAUUUCAACCAUAUACAGUUGGUACAGAACAGUGCUACAUAAACAACACAGAGCUACAGGACACUACACAGAACUAAAUGUGUGCGCGCGCAUGCGUGCAUGGGUGUCUGGGUCAGUGUCAGUCUCUAGGUAUUGAGGAGUCUGACUGCUUGGGGGAAGAAACUGUUACACAAUUUGGCCGUGAGGGUCCAAAUGUUUCGGUACCUUUUGCCUCAUGGCAGGAAGGAGAAGAGUUUGUGUGAGGGGUGUGGGGUCAGUUCUUUAGCCACGGCACCUCCUCUCUGUAUGCUGACUUGUCACUGCUCAUGAGACCCACCACAGCACAGUCUGUUGAGAGCUUGGGACGACAUGCGAACUGCGGGGGCUCCAGUGAGGGGGUAGCAGGGUCUUGAUGUGCCACAUGACAAGCCACUCCAAGCACUUCAUGACGAUGAAUGCAAGGAUAGCUGUUAAGGUAGGACGCUGAAGACUUCAACACGGGGGGGCGAUGAUGGAGGCCUUGAAGCACAUUGGAAUGACAGCGCUGCUCAGGGAAAUGUUGAAGAGGUCAGUGAGAACAUCUACCAUCCAGCGGGUCUGAACAUCCCCUGAGCAUUCUGCCAGGAAUGUUGUAUAAACCAGCAGCCUUCUGUGGAUUGACUCUUCACGGUCAUCCACGACUUCUGGUUGGAGCGUGUGGUGAUGGUCUUGGAGACAGUGACGUCAUCGAUGCACCUGCUGAUGUAGCGGAUACAGCUUGUGUAUUCCACCAAGCUGGUGGAGCUGCCAUCAGUUGCUACCUCCCUGAACAUGUGUCAGUCAGUGUGCUCAAAACAGUCCGGAAGAGCAGAGAUGUCUCUUGCUGUCCAGGUUUUCAUCUGCUUCAGAACCAGUCUGGAGCGUCUAACGAGCGGUCUGUAUGCUGGGAUUAACAUAACAGAGAGGUGGUCUGAGUACCCGGGAGGGGGCGGGGCUCUGCCAGGUUUGUGUAAACAAAAUCCAGCGAGUUCGCGCUUCUCAUCGCAAAGUCCACAUCCUGAUGGAAGUCAGGGAGCGCUGAUUUGGAAUUUCACAUGACUGAAAUGUCCGGCGACAAUAAACAGUCCGUCAGGGUUUGUGUUCCGCAGUAAUAGCCCCCGACAGUUCACAAAGCGCCUCCUUAACAUUAGCGCUGGGGGGAAUGCACACUCCGACUAAACUUCACCAGCGAGGAGCAGUAACUAGAAACUAGCACUGAGUUCUUGCACCAUUCGGGGUUGAUGUAAACACACAAGCCACCAUCGCGAGCCUUACCGCACAAAGUUGCAUUGCUGUCGUCAUGAAACGAGGGGAGCCCGUUUAGCUUUAGCCUAACACGGACCCCCGCCCUCUUGCCACGCUUCUGCUUCCUCGCACAGCGCUUACGACGCCCUCUCCCCCGGACACCGGCAUCACAAGACCCCGAAGACUGGAGGCUUGGUUCCCGCAACAAGCCGAGCUCACGUAACUUCUCCAGCAGACCAUCAUGCAAUCUGGUCAUCGGAUGAUAUCUAUAGUUUAGCAGAAACUGGCGAUGGUAAACACGGACCAUGGUUGCCCCGAUAUCCAUGUGCCGUAUAAUACAAAGGAUUUGAAAUAUUAGAUCCGGUUUAGUAUACUACAGUUCCGGUUCACCGCGAGAUGUCUCCACUGGUGAGAGCUCGGCUUUUUUUUAAAUUCUUUUAUUUCUAGUAGUGCGUCCCAAAUCAACGGUUGCAGGUUUCCUUACGUAACGGAUGGGGAGGGGCUAUAUCAGGCUCAGAUACUGACAUUACCAGCAGCCAUAACCACAACCAAUUAUGUUGAUUUUAAAUUGGAGAAGAUAAGAUGAGAGAAACUUUAUUGAUCCCACACGGGGGAAAUUCCCUCGUUAGAGCAGCUCAAUUAAACACAACAGAUAAGAACACAACAAUUAAACACAACAGAUAUGAACACCUCAUUUUAUGUGCAAAAUUCGCCUGUGAAGACGACUCCGCCUGACUGUGACUGAGGUCUUGUUGGGCAUAAAAGGAAAACAUUAAUAUCAACAGUAAAAUGUAGCAAUUCAUUUUUUUUUAUCCGUUUGGCUAUUUCGCUAGUGCUAGCGGCAUUACAUGCGUUUGACAUAAUAGAGUGGUGCAGGGAUGACGUCAUUGUGUAACGCCAAAACGAGUUAGCAUUUGAACCUUUCCGCUUCCAUCGUCCAGAUGUCAAGGGGUUUUUCGCAUGGGAUUUUGGUUAAAAACCUGAAAUAAGGUCUGUGGUGAACACAAGCUCAAAAUAUUUUCACGUUUUAUUCUACCACAUAAAAUCCACGGGUAAUACCCCACUCAUGAUUUUUUAAAUGCUUUUACGUGUAUUGAAAAAGGCGGUUGAUAAGAUGCUAAAUGGAACUACAGACCCAUUCGGGGGCAUUAAACGUCAUCCCGGUGAACAGGAAAAUAUACUCACUAGUCUGCGUUUACAGCCUCGUGUUCUUGCAGUUAUUGGAUUUGUCAGUUUAUCAAUUUAUAGUAUUUUCAGAAUUGUAGUACAAUAAAUUCUAGAUUAACUAAUUAAUAAUUUUGUCCAGUUUCUAGUGUAGUUAGACAAUGGUUGAAUUUUUUUAAUCUACUUGUGCUAUUAUACUGCUGGUUCUCACAUUCAGGGUGUGGAUGACCAGGUGAAAAAUAGCGAAAACAAGGGGGGGGGGGAGCGACAAUGUAGGGGAAAAUAAACAACUAUUUGCUGAUGCUAACUUCAGGGUUCCGGUACAAUAUGACAUCAUCCCUGCAGCUAUUUGCCCUCGACCAAGAAACAGCACAUAUUUCUGGUUUCCCUGUGGGUCACACUAGACAUGUGAUUGAAAUGACCUCGGACAGAGCAGAGUUCACAGAAGAACAGCUUCUUUUUGUCAUGAUGCACACAAGUAACAAAAUUCAAUCCUACAAGACAGUUUCAUUUGGCAUCACCUUCAGUUUGUGACGACUCCAGUUUCUGGGCCUUGGCAUCUGGCCCAGAGUUCUCAGCAUCUGGAACAAUACACCACAAACACAAUACUAAAACAGUCAAACAACAACAAUUUAAAAAAAGCAGAGACAGAAGGUUGCUUGGCCAACUACCUAAAUGGUAAUCUUCUUAGCUAUAACUCUGACUGUAAUUAGAUAUUACAUUAUAUGGCUUGUUAGGCCCUUGACAGUUAGCAAGCUAACAUGGGAACUUCCUAGAUGAACAUUUUCUUGGCUUUAGUUCAGCUCAGCAGUUAUGUCUAAAAUGACUAUGUAGCAUUUACUAUAUGUACACUGACUGGUGACAAAUUAAAGGAAAAACUGUGACCUUUGUGCCUGGCUUGAGUCACUGCAAAUCAAUAAAAAGUUAUUCUGAAUGAUCAGUUUUUUCUUAUGAUGAAACAUUUCUAUCAUUUCGAUGGAAGUGUUCUCUUCCAGGAUGACAAUGUCCCUAUUCACAGGACAUAAGGACUGAAUAGUUUGAUGAGUGAAAAGCAAUGAAAAGUUCCACCAAUGCUUUUUACCACAAUCAUAAAAACACCAAUUGAGGGACUAUUUUUGAAGAAUGGUGUUCAUCCCUCCAGUACAGUUAUGGAGACUUGUAGAACCUAUGCGAAGGUGUAUUGAAGCCGUUGUGGUGUGUCAUGGUGACUGAACAUCUUUUAAAAAUGCAUUAUGUUGGGUUUUCCUUUAAUUUGUUGCAUGCCGUGGUAACUAUGAAUACACCAACGUUCAUGCCACAGUCAAAAUCAAUGACAUUUUUCCAUAUUCUGAUCAUUGAUGUGAACAUUAACAACACACAUGCACUAAUAUACCCUCUGAAAGGAAAUUCUCUUAUAUCAUGUAAUCUCUUAUAUUAUGAACUGCUAUUAAGACACCUUAGAUACGGGGAAUACUGGGUUAUAGUUUCUGUUUGUGUGUCUCUGUGCUAUCAAAUACCUAUGAUGAAUGUAUUCAUUUAAUUACCUCUUUAAAUAAGCUGAUCAACUGCCAUCCUUUAUUAUAGCUGACACAUGUAGACUUUUUUUUGUAUGACCCUGUGUGCUGUGUGUUUUGUCUAAAUCUGUCUAGCACCUGCAGAAGUUGGAACCCACCUACUACGCAAUGCUGUUAUGAAUGUGUAUAAAUACUUCUGUUUUGCAUGAAGUACAGGAUGUCUCUGUGAGCAUGCAUGUGUCAGUGUGUGUUCAUUUAGACUCCCCAGAUCUGAAACGCUCUGAGGAAAACCACACUUUCUAACUCAUAGCAUACAACUAAGAGUUAAUAGAAGUAAAAAGGCUGAAAAGGGCUGACGAAGGACUGAAAGACAUAAUCUGAGAUUCCUGAGAUACUUGGAAAUCUAACACCCCCUUCACCAAGCACUUAAAUGAGCAUAGAAUAUAUAUAUAUUUUUUUUGUUGCUUUUUUUGCUGUACCAUCUCUUCUCUAAACUGAUCAUUCUAAAUAAUAGUCUAGAAAAUGCAUUUAUUUGAUCAAUGGGUGAACAAUUAUAGGUAAUUGAUUUAUUCUAAUCUUACCUUCUGAUGGCUGCUUAGUCUUUUUUUGAGGCUGCUUAUUUUCUUUUUCU
This is a long non-coding RNA of Ictalurus punctatus (channel catfish), 11220 nucleotides long. The record is from Ensembl. Lineage: Eukaryota; Metazoa; Chordata; Actinopteri; Siluriformes; Ictaluridae.